RNAcentral lists this ribosomal RNA (858 nucleotides) under Carcharhinus signatus (night shark). RNAcentral's name for it is "partial 16S ribosomal RNA". The stretch from base 181 to 858 matches the Rfam family "Bacterial large subunit ribosomal RNA", at positions 568 to 1482 of the family's 2925-position model. The record is from RNAcentral. Lineage: Eukaryota; Metazoa; Chordata; Chondrichthyes; Carcharhiniformes; Carcharhinidae.
UUAAAGCUAGCCUAUAUACCAACUCAACUAGACCCUAUAAAUCUAAUUUAUAUCGUAAUUUUUAAUCAAAACAUUCUUAACCUUUCAGUAUGGGCGACAGAACAAUAACUCCAGCGCAAUAGCUUAUGUACCGCAAGGGAAAGCUGAAAAAGAAAUGAAAUAAAUCAUUAAAGUACCAAAAAGCAGAGAUUAUACCUCGUACCUUUUGCAUCAUGAUUUAGCUAGAAAAACUAGGCAAAAAGACCUUAAGUCUACCUCCCCGAAACUAAACGAGCUACUCCGAAGCAGCAUUAUAGAGCUAACCCAUCUCUGUGGCAAAAGAGUGGGAAGACUUCCGAGUAGCGGUGAAAAGCCUACCGAGUUUAGUGAUAGCUGGUUACCCAAGAAAAGAGCUUUAGCUCUGCAUUAAUUUUUUAUUAUCUAGACAAGACUUACUCGUCAAAGAAAUCUAUAAGAAUUAAUAGUUAUUUAGAAGAGGUACAGCCCUUCUAAACUAAGACACAACUUUUUAAGGUGGGAAACGAUCAUAAUUAUCAAGGUUACCAUCUUAGUGGGCCUAAAAGCAGCCACCUAUUAAGUAAGCGUCGCAGCUCUAAUCUAAUGAUUAAACCUUUAAUUCAGAUAUUUAUUCACAACCCCCUUCAUCCUAUUGGGUUAUUUUAUAUUUAUAUAAAAGAACUUAUGCUAAAAUGAGUAAUAAAGAGAACAAGUCUCUCCCGACACAAGUGUAUGUCAGAAAGAAUUAAAUCACUGAUAAUUAAACGACCCCAAACUGAGGUCAUUAUAUCACUUAAUCAUUAACUAGAAAAUCCUAUUUUCCUACUCGUUACCCCUACACAGGAGUGUCACCAGGAAAGA